This is a non-coding RNA of Vicugna pacos (alpaca), 2471 nucleotides long. NCBI's taxonomy places the organism in Eukaryota, Metazoa, Chordata, Mammalia, Artiodactyla, Camelidae. The record is from RefSeq and is a predicted model, not a curated record.
CUCCGCUCCCGUCGCCAUCUUGGGCUCGGGCGUCUCCGCGAAGGGUUAGAGGGGACGGUGGAGGUCAAGGGUCCCGGCUCCCGCGGCGCGUAGGGCGCCUACGUAGCUGGCCCGCUGGUUCGAAGCCUUGCCUGGUCGCCGGUGAACUUGACAACCGUGUUCCCUCCCUUGCGCUCCCUUGUAAAGCUCAGAGGCUGCCCCUCUGGGAGCGGGGGUGACCGAGAACCUUGAGACGCGCGGCGGGGGCUUCCAUCGCGUCUAAGUUACUACAAGAGAGUGAAUAUAGUUCCCUGUGCUAUACAGCAGAAACUUGUUUAUCUAUUUUAUAUGUAGUAGUCAGUAUUUUGUGUUUUCUGAGCACUGCCAUACUUCCUGGUGUUGCAAGAUGCCCAGGCUUAUCCUGUACCAUCUCUGUGCCUGCAUUUGUCCAAGGUGACAUUCGAUCUGGAAUCAUGUAGUUAGUAGUCGGCUGUGCAGCUGUUUCAGUUCCCUUUUGUGACUGUUGCUGUCCUAGGAACAGGGCUAACAGACAGAUUAACAGAGGAUGACUUGAUGGAGACAAGUGCCAGAUGAUGAGGAAAUCGCAGAAGAAACAGCGCCAGGAAACAGAUUGACAUCAGACCAUCCUACAGAAGCAUUCUGAGUUUUCAAAGAUUGCUUUUGACGGCUUUUGCAACAUGGCUCCUUCAAUGAUACGGGCACUGAAACUAAAAUGAACGGUGGAAGGAUUAUGGUAUACAAACAUUUUUAGAGAAAUGAAAAAAGCAGAAAACUCAUACAGAAACGACGAUGUGUUUUUCAUUAAGUUACACCAGGUGUGCCGGCCUCUCUUGCCCCCACCCCCACAUCCUCCACCUCCGCCCCCCAAGACAGCAAGACCCACGCCUCCUCAGCUGACUCAGUGUGAAAACCUGAGGAUGAAGACCUUUAUGAUGAUCCAUCUCCACUUAGUAAGUAGUGUUCAUCAUGUGGAACAUGUGCAGGACUUGAAGUGGAUAGAGCCUGUCCAUAGGAGCAAGCCCACCACUCUCCCUGGGAUGUCUCAGGAGCUCAGAGCGCAAAGCACAACAACACAGCCCCACGCUGGGUCCCCAGGCCCUGGAAGCGUAGCCCACCACGCAGACCUCCCUGUGGAUUCCCUGGGCUAAAGCUCUGAGAGUAAUGGAAUACACGGAAUAGGAGGAGAAAAAGGCUGGCUCUUUUCGCAGAAGUAACUCAGGAGAGCUGAAAACUAAAGUUCCAGACUGAAAACAUUCUAUGAUGCUUUACUCACAGGUCUUUCCUGCCUCUGCCACAGACCAACCCUCUUCCUGCCCUCACACAUACACCCCUUCCAAACACUCGAUGAUUCAGUCUGUUCACUUGGGGCUCUUCUUCCCAUUUUUGACCUAAAAAAAUAAAACAGCCUGUUAUUUUACCACAAAGUGGGUUCAUUCAGGAGCAACAAAGAAUUGCAGUUUGGGACAAUCAGGCUACAGCAGAAGCUCCAAGCAAAUCCCAUGAACAAAGGAGAGGAACGUUAUUUCAUAGAGAAAGAGAGUGAGGGGUGCUGUUUUGGGGUCUGAUGGAGGGGAGCCCUGAGUAAAGGGUGGGGAUGGCUUCCCAUCAGCUCAGCAGCCAGGGUGGUCAGUGGCCUGCGGGAGGCGCAGGGAACAUAUUUCCUGGUGAGGCCUGGGAUUGAGGAUUCUCUCCCGUUGAUGAUUGUUGCUGGGGUUUGUAAUGGACAGUCCUUCCUGUUACUGACUUUGAGUGGCACUGCCACUCCCUCCUUCCGGCCUCCCCGCUGUACCUUAGAUGAGGUUUCCCUCAGUAACUUUCAUGCCAUUCAAGGUGGUGUAUGUCCCCUUCUCUGAUCUGUACCAUAUUGAGAACAGCCCUGUCAGCCUGCCUGUCUCAGAAUACAGAAUUUCUUUCCCGGAGUGUUGUCUACACUCCAGACGGCAGCCUAGUGCCCCAGAGAAUCGGUUGGGAAGGAUACAGGAGCUGUGUCCAAAGAGGAAGGAGAGGUGGAAGGCCCCAUCGCUGACACCACCAGGACUCAGGUCUCCUGGAAACACCCUUCUUGGGGUGGGAGCUGGGGCCACACAACUUUUUGAACUUGAACCAUUUUUCAAAAUUCAGGAGGAUCUGGAAGUUCUGGACUCCUGUCAACAUCUCGCUCUCUAAUGUGAAAUGUAGAAUCCUCUCCUGUCGCCUCCCCAGGAUGCUUUUCCAUCUCCAUUAUCUGUUUCUGGUUGGUGCGCUGCAGUCAAAUUGAGGCUAAGGAUGGGCCUCUGCCUGGUUCUUAGGCGGUUCUGAACUAUAUGUGAGUUUUACAUGUAUGAGUGACCUGUGAUCUGUGUGAGAGUUUACACACAGGAUUAUCUGUGGUCUGAGCAUGUAGAUACACACUUCUGUUGGAAUGAACAUGAGGCACCCCUGGGUGAGUCUGAGGUUCAGCCACGAUAGCGGCCCCUUCAACCUGCCUGGGC